GAACAACCUGGCCAACUGCAGAAA
Molecule: non-coding RNA, 24 nt
Filed under: Arabidopsis thaliana (thale cress)
Lineage: Eukaryota; Viridiplantae; Streptophyta; Magnoliopsida; Brassicales; Brassicaceae
Source: RNAcentral